This 449-nucleotide ribosomal RNA is filed under the name uncultured bacterium. RNAcentral's name for it is "bacterial SSU rRNA". It matches the Rfam family "Bacterial small subunit ribosomal RNA", at positions 29 to 523 of the family's 1533-position model. The record is from RNAcentral.
AACGAACGCUGGCGGCAUGCCUAACACAUGCAAGUCGAACGAGACCUUCGGGUCUAGUGGCGCACGGGUGCGUAACGCGUGGGAAUCUGCCCUUGGGUUCGGAAUAACAGCGAGAAAUUGCUGCUAAUACCGGAUGAUGACGUAAGUCCAAAGAUUUAUCGCCCAAGGAUGAGCCCGCGUAGGAUUAGCUAGUUGGUGAGGUAAAGGCUCACUAAGGCGACGAUCCUUAGCUGGUCUGAGAGGAUGAUCAGCCACACUGGGACUGAGACACGGCCCAGACUCCUACGGGAGGCAGCAGUGGGGAAUAUUGGACAAUGGGCGAAAGCCUGAUCCAGCAAUGCCGCGUGAGUGAUGAAGGCCUUAGGGUUGUAAAGCUCUUUUACCCGGGAUGAUAAUGACAGUACCGGGAGAAUAAGCUCCGGCUAACUCCGUGCCAGCAGCCGCGGUAU